Long non-coding RNA from Lagopus muta (rock ptarmigan), 2344 nucleotides. RefSeq lists it as uncharacterized. The transcript is spliced from 3 exons. NCBI's taxonomy places the organism in Eukaryota, Metazoa, Chordata, Aves, Galliformes, Phasianidae. The record is from RefSeq and is a predicted model, not a curated record.
UGCAGCUGAGUGACAGGAAGGGAUGCAGCCAGGAUCCACCCCUUCCCAGACCUCAUUUAAGGGUUGGCACUGGAAGGGCGGGUAUCUUUUUGGAGAUUCUGGCCUACCUGAGGCUUUUUGAAGGCAGGCCUUCGUAACGGCGUGAGUCUCGUGUGUGGUGAAUUAAAGUAAGACUUCUCUGAGCACAGGAUGUACUACAUAUUGAGAAGGACAUUUCCGUGGGAAAACAGGUCUCCAUUACGCUUAGCACAGGGAACAACCAUCGAGAACUUGCCCUUCACCUUGAACUUGUGAGUAAAAUAACAUAACUUAUUGAAAGUGCAGAAGUCAUUAGGAAGUCAGUAUUGCAUGUAACUCUAAGAACUGCAUUUUCUGGCCUGAAUUGUCUACAUGUUGCACUUUUAAUUCAGCUGCUAUUUAUCAUUAACUGGCUUUGUGUUUGGUUAGUUAAUUGCAGACUCUUGCAGAAAGAUACAAUAUACUAUACAUUUAACACAGAGGCAGAACCUCACCACUGUUCUAUUUCUUUUGGUAAUAAGCUCAAGGCAGAACACUAAGUAUUUUUGUCAUUUGCAUUGGAGUUCAGUCUCAGCUUGGGCCAAAGGUCCACAGGAACUAACUUACUGAGAUUCAUCACAAAGAGCUUUGCCAAGAAGCACAAGCUCAGGUUACCUAGCAAGAAAACAGAGUUUUUUGUGAACUUCUCUUAAGUAAAGAAAGCAAAGGUUCUUCUUGCAAGACAGCCACUGCCACUCCACUCUCAGGAGAGCACACUCACCUUUGAGCUUGGAAAGCUCUCCCGAAUUAAGCAAACAUUUCUAUCCAAAAAGUACAACUGCAGCAAUACAAACAGUGGCAAUGCAGAUGGCAGUUUUAUUCAGCACACCAAGCAAGCCUGAUGCACUGUACACUUGCAGUAGAUAACUUCUGAAAACCAUUACCAAUUUGUCUCCCUCUUUCUUUUACAGAGCGUGCUGCUGUGCCAAAUAGCCAACAGAUGAAGCAAUCAUCGUUCUCACUUUUCACAUUCCCCAAAAUAAAUAACGCCAGCAUCAAGGGACCCAGGCCCAAGCACAGAAAGACAGCGCACCCUGUUUUUUUUCGGCGGUAAGCAAGGAUUUACCAUUGUUUUAAGUCAGAGAUGGUCAGGUAUCCACUUCACCACAAAAACCUGAGCUAGCUAAGUCUAACUGUUCCAUUUUAGCACAGAUAUCAUAGGCACCCGGGUUCCCACUCACAGCAGAGCAUUUGCACUGGCAGUAGAAAAAGAAAGCCUUCUCAAUCCAAUACUUUUUCUUGAUAAAGGGAAGUAUCAUUACCCACUUCCCACCUUGCAAAAGUAAGCUUAGUUACCACUACUUUGGGGGCAUACUUUGAAAUGAAAAGAGGGGAAUUUUAUUUGAAAGAUCUCCUCUUGCUGAAUUGAGUAGACUUAUCAAAGAGUUAGACCUAGAUUUUCACCAUUUUAAAAAUCUUUAGUUUUUAAGUUGCUUGUCCCAUGACUCAAUUGGGUGCAUUUUACAGGAGGCAUGCUCUUAAUUACUAAGCGAAACCUUACCCUACCCACACAGAGUUUUCUGCAUUUACUUAUAUCAAGUAAAUUUUCUGCAUUUACUUAAAAAAAUUAAAUUGAUAGUGAAGUAGUUGAAUUGGCCUCAGAGCUACCCAAAAGGAGCUUUCACUGGAAUUUUCAUUUUGAAUUUCCCCAUUAGGCCAAUUACUUCACCCUAAGAGGUAACAGCAAAAAGCUACAGAGCACAGCAGCAGCUUUCAUCCUUCCUUACCACCUCAGCCUAAGUAGCUUGCCAAUACUAAAAACCAUCCACAGCAUAUACAGGACAAAGAUACACACCACAGGAUCAUUUCACCUUCAGCCACUUAACCAAGCCUCUCCAGGAGCAAAAUCCGACAGCCCUCCAGGCACAUUCAAUUACUAAACAGAGCAAGCAUCCUCUCAUGCCAGUGAGUACUUGAAACAGGCUUUUAGCUGAGGUUUGAAAUAAUCUGACUUUUCUCCUUCAGCAGGACACAGAACCCAGUUCAUCUCAUCUUUAUCUCAUUCCUUUGCAACCAGGAACAUCAAGAGCCACUCCAAGAUCUAGGGAAGAGAUCACACUCAGGGGAGCCCCAAUAGACACUGGGGCUCCCCCACUCCCCCACUUAGGGGGAGCCCCAAUAGACACUGGGGCUCCCCCACCCCCCCACUUAGGGGGAGCCCCAGUGGGCACUGGGGCUCCCCCACUCCCCCACUUAGGGGGAGCCCCAGUGGGCACUGGGGCUCCCCCUCAGCCCUUCCCAGGGCUGCUCCAGCCCAGCCAGAAGAAGAAAAAUUUCCGUUACUGAC